GAUCCUGGGGGCCAGGGUGAGGGGUAUUUUACGGGAACUCUAUAAAGCAGGAAAAAGCAAGUUUAUUCUUUAGACCAGUAGCUCUCAACCAUGAUGUGGUCGUAUAUUUAUGGGUCAACAUGUGUUGUGGGGAUAUCCCAAGUAACUUGUUAUUAAUAAAAGUUAAGUUGCAAAAUUUAUUAAAGACUAACUUUUAUAAAUUAAAACAUAUUCCAGGUCAUCUCUCUAACAAAGUCAUUUGCACUUGAUUCCUCUAUGCUAUCUGAGUGGGUCACAGUGGGUGACAUCAUGAUGGAGUAUGGGGAAUUACAUCUGGUCCCAGGUUCACCUCUGAGAGCUUGCCAUACAUUUAAAUGUCAUCCAUUGAGUGAUUCACAGGAGAAAACAGGAUGAGAAUUGACAUUUUGAGGUUGUGAAUUUGAAUCACGAGAGACAAAAUGUUAGGGGCCAGGUCACUUCAUUCAUGUUUGUGUCUACACACCCAUUAACUUUUCUUAAAAGCUUUAAAAAAGCAAUCUACAUGGCUUUUUUUUAAUGCCAAUAUUCAUUUAACAAGUUAUUUUUAAAGCAUCUGCUAUAUGAAGAAUACUUAAAGCCCCAGUCCUGAUGGGAAACUUACAACCAAGAUGGAGGAGAUACAUGUAAAAUAAUAAAGAAGUAUAUAAUACAUCAGGCAAUAGUAAGAGCCUAUGGGGAACAAUAAAGCAGGACUUUGUGGGUUUUGUUAUGUGAGUGCUUGGGGAGCCCUCACUGAGAUGACAUUUGAGGAGAGGGAGUGAACCCUGCAUAUGUGUAGGGGGAAGAGUGUUCUUGCAGUCAUAGACAGUAGCAAGUGCAAAGGCCCUGCAGCCAGUAUGCAAGGAGCAGCCAAGAGGUCCAUGUGGCUGGAGCGCAGUGACCCAAGUAGGUGAGGGAAGAGCAAGUAGAAGUUGAAGUCAGAGGAAAAGGGAGAUGGGCUGGGUCAUGCAGGGCCUUGCAUUUUAGUAGAAAUGGGAGUGGGGGCCAUGAAGGGUUUUGAGCACAGGAGUAACAUGAUUUAACUUACAUUUUAAAAGGCUCAUCUGCUGAAAAUAGAUUGUCAUAGAGAAUAAGCAGGGAGACAAGUAAGAAAGUUGUUGCAGGAAUCCAGGUGAGAGAUGAGCUGGACCAGAAUGGUAUCAGUGGAGGAGGUGAGGACUGGCUGGAUUGGGGAUAUAUUUUGAAGGUAGAGGUGAUAGGAUUUGCUGAGGGAUUCGAUGUGAUUUGUUCCAGAAAGACAGAAAUUAAGGAUGACUCCAGGAUUUUUAGCCUGAGUAUCUGGAGGAAAGCAUUGCCAUGUACCAAAAUGGGAUGGACUGGAAAGAACUGGUUUGGGGGAAAGAUGAAGAGUUCAGUUUUAGACAUGUUUCAGGUUCCUAUUGGAAAUCCAACUAGAAAUGUCAUCAAGAAUAAAAGUAUACUUUUGCUUUUUUUUAUUGGAAAGGUGCACAAAAUGAAAGGCCUCCUUUUCUUAUCCCUCCAUUCAGAUGGAAAAACUGUUCAUGGUUUGGUGACGUCCUUCACAAGUACACACGCAUGCACAUGUGUGUGUACAUGACUUUGUGUUAUUUAAUGCUUUCUGAUAAUACCCUUACUGCCUUCACCUAGCAGGGCCUUGGAGUCCUGAGAUCUUCCCUCCCCCAUUUUCUCUGCUCCCCGCUCCACUCCAGUCCUCACAAUAUCAUACUUUUUGCCUUUCACUUCUAGGAGGAGAUUGUAUUUCGUUACUACCACAAACUCAGGAUGUCUGCGGAGUACUCCCAGAGCUGGGGCCACUUCCAGAAUCGUGUGAACCUGGUGGGGGACGUUUUCCGCAAUGACGGUUCCAUCAUGCUUCAAGGAGUGAGGGAGUCAGAUGGAGGAAACUACACCUGCAGUAUCCACCUAGGGAACCUGGUGUUCAAGAAAACCAUUGUGCUGCAUGUCAGCCCGGAAGAGCCUCGAACACUGGUGACCCCGGCAGCCCUGAGGCCUCUGGUCUUGGGUGGUAAUCAGCUGGUGAUCAUCGUGGGAAUUGUCUGUGCCACAAUCCUGCUGCUCCCUGUUCUGAUAUUGAUCGUGAAGAAGACCUGUGGAAAUAAGAGUUCAGUGAAUUCUACAGUCUUGGUGAAGAACACGAAGAAGACUAAUCCAGAGAUAAAAGAAAAACCCUGCCAUUUUGAAAGAUGUGAAGAGGAGAAACACAUUUACUCCCCAAUAAUUGUACGGGAGGUGAUCAAGGAAGAAGAACCAAGUGAAAAAUCAGAGGCCACCUACAUGACCAUGCACCCAGUUUGGCCUUCUCUGAGGUCAGAUCGGAACAACUCACUUGAAAAAAAGUCAGGUGGGGGAAUGCCAAAAACACAGCAAGCCUUUUGAGAAGAAUGGAGAGUCCCUUCAUCUCAGCAGCGGUGGAGACUCUCUCCUGUGUGUGUCCUGGGCCACUCUACCAGUGAUUUCAGACUCCCGCUCUCCCAGCUGUCCUCCUGUCUCAUUGUUUGGUCAAUACACUGAAGAUGGAGAAUUUGGAGCCUGGCAGAGAGACUGGACAGCUCUGGAGGAACAGGCCUGCUGAGGGGAGGGGAGCAUGGACUUGGCCUCUGGAGUGGGACACUGGCCCUGGGAAC
RNAcentral lists this small RNA (2624 nucleotides) under Pan troglodytes (chimpanzee). Its description in RNAcentral is "retained intron". The record is from RNAcentral. Lineage: Eukaryota; Metazoa; Chordata; Mammalia; Primates; Hominidae.